GCCCCAGUGGCCAAGUGGAUAAGGCACAGGCCUCCGGAGCCUGGAUCGCAGGUUCGAAUCCUGCCUGGGGUACCA
RNAcentral lists this transfer RNA (75 nucleotides) under Armatimonadota bacterium. Its description in RNAcentral is "Armatimonadetes bacterium tRNA-Arg". It matches the Rfam family "tRNA". Rfam says of the family: Transfer RNA (tRNA) molecules are approximately 80 nucleotides in length. Their secondary structure includes four short double-helical elements and three loops (D, anti-codon, and T loops). The record is from RNAcentral. RNAcentral also lists the same sequence under 3 other names. Lineage: Bacteria; Bacillati; Armatimonadota.